UGAGUUGUAGCUCAGUGGUAGAGCACUCACCUAGCAUGUGUGAGGUCCUGGGUUCAAUCUAUAGCACUGCAG
This 72-nucleotide transfer RNA is filed under the name Mesocricetus auratus (golden hamster). It matches the Rfam family "tRNA". From Rfam's summary of the family: Transfer RNA (tRNA) molecules are approximately 80 nucleotides in length. Lineage: Eukaryota; Metazoa; Chordata; Mammalia; Rodentia; Cricetidae. The record is from Rfam by way of RNAcentral.